UUUCGCAAUGCCCGAAAGGGUGACGAAGCGACGCCGCGUGGGUGAGGAAGGCCUUCGGGUUGUAAAGCCCUGUCAGGAGUUAUGAAAUGUAAGUGCGCUAAUAUCGUGCUUAUUUGACAAAGGCUCCAAAGGAAGCCACGGCUAACUCUGUGCCAGCAGCCGCGGUAAUACAGAGGUGGCGAGCGUUGUUCGGAAUUAUUGGGCGUAAAGAGCACGUAGGUGGGUUUGCAAGUCAGAUGUGAAAGCCUUCAGUUCAACGGAAGAAUUGCAUCUGAAACUGCUAAUCUUGAGUAUAGGAGGGGAGAAUGGAACUUCUGGUGGAGCGGUGAAAUGCGUAGAUAUCAGAAGGAACGCCGGCGGCGAAAGCGAUUCUCUGGCCUAUUACUGACACUCAGUGUGCGAAAGCUAGGGGAGCAAACGGGAUUAGAUACCCCGGUAGUCCUAGCCGUAAACGAUGGGCACUAAGUAGAGGGGUUUUA
RNAcentral lists this ribosomal RNA (479 nucleotides) under uncultured anaerobic ammonium-oxidizing bacterium. RNAcentral describes it as "bacterial SSU rRNA". It matches the Rfam family "Bacterial small subunit ribosomal RNA", at positions 364 to 833 of the family's 1533-position model. The record is from RNAcentral.